Molecule: ribosomal RNA, 387 nt
Filed under: Mesorhizobium sp. R-46209
Lineage: Bacteria; Pseudomonadati; Pseudomonadota; Alphaproteobacteria; Hyphomicrobiales; Phyllobacteriaceae
Description: bacterial SSU rRNA
Rfam family: Bacterial small subunit ribosomal RNA
Source: RNAcentral
GCUGGCGGCAGGCUUAACACAUGCAAGUCGAGCGCGUAGCAAUACGAGCGGCAGACGGGUGAGUAACGCGUGGGAAUCUACCCAUCUCUACGGAACAACUCCGGGAAACUGGAGCUAAUACCGUAUACGUCCUUUUGGAGAAAGAUUUAUCGGAGAUGGAUGAGCCCGCGUUGGAUUAGCUAGUUGGUGGGGUAAUGGCCUACCAAGGCGACGAUCCAUAGCUGGUCUGAGAGGAUGAUCAGCCACACUGGGACUGAGACACGGCCCAGACUCCUACGGGAGGCAGCAGUGGGGAAUAUUGGACAAUGGGCGCAAGCCUGAUCCAGCCAUGCCGCGUGAGUGAUGAAGGCCCUAGGGUUGUAAAGCUCUUUCAACGGUGAAGAUAAU